CCUACGGGAGGCAGCAGUGGGGAAUAUUGGACAAUGGGCGAAAGCCUGAUCCAGCAAUGCCGCGUGAGUGAUGAAGGCCUUAGGGUUGUAAAGCUCUUUUACCAGGGAUGAUAAUGACAGUACCUGGAGAAUAAGCUCCGGCUAACUCCGUGCCAGCAGCCGCGGUAAUACGGAGGGAGCUAGCGUUGUUCGGAAUUACUGGGCGUAAAGCGUACGUAGGCGGUUAUUCAAGUCAGAGGUGAAAGCCUGGAGCUCAACUCCAGAACUGCCUUUGAAACUAGAUAGCUAGAAUCUUGGAGAGGUGAGUGGAAUUCCGAGUGUAGAGGUGAAAUUCGUAGAUAUUCGGAAGAACACCAGUGGCGAAGGCGACUCACUGGACAAGUAUUGACGCUGAGGUACGAAAGCGUGGGGAGCAAACAGGAUUAGAUACCCUGGUAGUCCACGCCGUAAACGAUGAUAACUAGCUGUUCGGGCUCUACGAGCUUGAGUGGCGCAGCUACGACAUUAAGUUAGUCCGUCCGUCGGGAGGUACGGUCGCGAGAAGUUAAACUAACGUAAAGUUAAAGUUAGUACGGCGUUGAGACGUUGCCGACGGACGACCGACCGAGGGGAAGGUUAGGGAG
Molecule: ribosomal RNA, 623 nt
Filed under: uncultured bacterium
Lineage: Bacteria
Description: bacterial SSU rRNA
Rfam family: Bacterial small subunit ribosomal RNA (bases 1-519)
Source: RNAcentral